This 1128-nucleotide ribosomal RNA is filed under the name Staphylococcus aureus F77047. RNAcentral's name for it is "bacterial SSU rRNA". It matches the Rfam family "Bacterial small subunit ribosomal RNA", at positions 8 to 1115 of the family's 1533-position model. Lineage: Bacteria; Bacillati; Bacillota; Bacilli; Caryophanales; Staphylococcaceae. The record is from RNAcentral.
AGAGUUUGAUCCUGGCUCAGGAUAAACGCUGGCGGCGUGCCUAAUACAUGCAAGUCGAGCGAACGGACGAGAAGCUUGCUUCUCUGAUGUUAGCGGCGGACGGGUGAGUAACACGUGGAUAACCUACCUAUAAGACUGGGAUAACUUCGGGAAACCGGAGCUAAUACCGGAUAAUAUUUUGAACCGCAUGGUUCAAAAGUGAAAGACGGUCUUGCUGUCACUUAUAGAUGGAUCCGCGCUGCAUUAGCUAGUUGGUAAGGUAACGGCUUACCAAGGCAACGAUGCAUAGCCGACCUGAGAGGGUGAUCGGCCACACUGGAACUGAGACACGGUCCAGACUCCUACGGGAGGCAGCAGUAGGGAAUCUUCCGCAAUGGGCGAAAGCCUGACGGAGCAACGCCGCGUGAGUGAUGAAGGUCUUCGGAUCGUAAAACUCUGUUAUUAGGGAAGAACAUAUGUGUAAGUAACUGUGCACAUCUUGACGGUACCUAAUCAGAAAGCCACGGCUAACUACGUGCCAGCAGCCGCGGUAAUACGUAGGUGGCAAGCGUUAUCCGGAAUUAUUGGGCGUAAAGCGCGCGUAGGCGGUUUUUUAAGUCUGAUGUGAAAGCCCACGGCUCAACCGUGGAGGGUCAUUGGAAACUGGAAAACUUGAGUGCAGAAGAGGAAAGUGGAAUUCCAUGUGUAGCGGUGAAAUGCGCAGAGAUAUGGAGGAACACCAGUGGCGAAGGCGACUUUCUGGUCUGUAACUGACGCUGAUGUGCGAAAGCGUGGGGAUCAAACAGGAUUAGAUACCCUGGUAGUCCACGCCGUAAACGAUGAGUGCUAAGUGUUAGGGGGUUUCCGCCCCUUAGUGCUGCAGCUAACGCAUUAAGCACUCCGCCUGGGGAGUACGACCGCAAGGUUGAAACUCAAAGGAAUUGACGGGGACCCGCACAAGCGGUGGAGCAUGUGGUUUAAUUCGAAGCAACGCGAAGAACCUUACCAAAUCUUGACAUCCUUUGACAACUCUAGAGAUAGAGCCUUCCCCUUCGGGGGACAAAGUGACAGGUGGUGCAUGGUUGUCGUCAGCUCGUGUCGUGAGAUGUUGGGUUAAGUCCCGCAACGAGCGCAACCCUUAAGCUUAGU